Molecule: long non-coding RNA, 434 nt
Filed under: Struthio camelus australis
Lineage: Eukaryota; Metazoa; Chordata; Aves; Struthioniformes; Struthionidae
Description: lncRNA (ENSSCUG00000005920.1)
Source: RNAcentral
GACAGUUAUAAUAACAGCUUAUUUAAUUAUACUUGAUUUAUUUCACUUUAUAAUUUUUUUUUUAUCCCUUUUUUUACCAAAGGGUCUGAAAGUGCGACACAGCUCGUGUCAGUGGAGCUGCAUCUGUGUCCAGUUCCAUUUUUGAAUCUCUUAGGAAACAGAAGAAGAGUAGAUUUGAUUCUCAGCAGAGGUGCAGUCUGUAAACCAAAGGAGGAAAAUAGAAUCCCACAUCAUAAAGGAUUCAAGAAGCACUCUCCAUUUGUCUGGCAGUAUUUUAAAUGAAGAGUAAACAAGCUAAUUUCUGAUCUUCUUUACAUCAGUGCAAACUGAAGCAGAAUAUUCUCCAGAUAUUAGACUAUGUAAGUAUCAUGAGAUCAUUUAUAUCCUAUCUCUUUCUCUGCAUUCCAGUCCUUAUGGCUUCCCACUCUAUGAUU